RNAcentral lists this ribosomal RNA (436 nucleotides) under Clostridioides difficile. Its description in RNAcentral is "bacterial LSU rRNA". It matches the Rfam family "Bacterial large subunit ribosomal RNA", at positions 1466 to 1912 of the family's 2925-position model. The record is from RNAcentral. Lineage: Bacteria; Bacillati; Bacillota; Clostridia; Peptostreptococcales; Peptostreptococcaceae.
GGGAUGACACAGUAGGAUAAGCUAAGCACACUGUUGGUUAUGUGUGCCCAAGCAUUGAGGCAGUCAAAGUAGGCAAAUCCGCUUUGAUAAUGCUGGGAUGUGAUGGGGAGCGAAAUUUAGUAGCGAAGUAGCUGAUUUCACACUGUCAAGAAAAGUCUCUAUCGAGGUUAAAGGUACCCGUACCGCAAACCGACACAGGUGGGGGAGGAGAGUAUCCUAAGGCCAGCGAGAGAACUGUUGUUAAGGAACUCGGCAAAAUGACCCCGUAACUUAGGGAUAAGGGGUGCCACCAUCAGGUGGCCGCAGAGAAUAGGCCCAAGCGACUGUUUACCAAAAACAUAGGUUUCUGCUAAGUCGCAAGACGAUGUAUAGGAGCUGACGCCUGCCCGGUGCUGGAAGUUUAAGGGGAUCUGUUAGAGCAAUCGAAGCAGUGAAC